Molecule: ribosomal RNA, 532 nt
Filed under: Gibberula sp. MNHN-IM-2013-57223
Lineage: Eukaryota; Metazoa; Mollusca; Gastropoda; Neogastropoda; Cystiscidae
Description: partial 12S ribosomal RNA
Source: RNAcentral
GACACUAAUAAGAUUAAAAUAUAUUAACUAGGUAAAGAAAGUUAGAUAAAAUUAUAUAAAAUUAUUUAAAUACAUUAUUCAUAAGUAAAAUUUGAAAAUAAAAUAGAUAACCAAAAAUAAUUUAAAUAUUGAAUCUUUGAAAUCUUAGAAAGAAACUGGGAUUUGAUACCCCAUUAUUCUUCGAAGAAAAUCGAUAUAAAUCUACCAGGGUACUACGAAUAACAAUUUAAAACCUAAAGAACUUGGCGGUAUUUUAGACUAUUUAGGGGAACCUGUUCCAUAAUCGAUAAUCCACGCCAAAUUUACCUCAAGUUGUAAUCAGCCUAUAUACCGUUGUCGCCAGGUAAUUUUUCAAAAACUAAAAAUUAGCAAAUUAACUUUCAGUUAAAACGUCAAAUCAUCGUAUAGCCUAUCUUGAGGGGAGAAUGGGUUACAAUAAAAAUAUGAAUUAAUAUUAAAACUAAUAUUAUGAAAGAGGACUUAAAAGUAAAAUUAAACAUAAAAUUAAUUUGAACAUAGCUCUGAAAUGUGU